RNAcentral lists this ribosomal RNA (253 nucleotides) under uncultured bacterium. RNAcentral describes it as "partial 16S ribosomal RNA". It matches the Rfam family "Bacterial small subunit ribosomal RNA", at positions 524 to 776 of the family's 1533-position model. The record is from RNAcentral.
UACGGGGGGAGCAAGCGUUGUUCGGAUUUACUGGGCGUAAAGGGCGCGUAGGCGGCUUAUCAAGUCAGGGGUGAAAUCCGGCAGCUCAACUGUCGAAGUGCCUUUGAUACUGAUGAGCUCGAGGGAGGUAGGGGUGUGCGGAACUUCCGGUGGAGCGGUGAAAUGCGUUGAUAUCGGAAGGAACGCCGGUGGCGAAAGCGGCGCACUGGACCUCUUCUGACGCUGAGGCGCGAAAGCCAGGGGAGCAAACGGG